This 468-nucleotide ribosomal RNA is filed under the name uncultured bacterium. Its description in RNAcentral is "partial 16S ribosomal RNA". It matches the Rfam family "Bacterial small subunit ribosomal RNA", at positions 28 to 507 of the family's 1533-position model. The record is from RNAcentral.
GACGAACGCUGGCGGCGUGCUUAACACAUGCAAGUCGAACGGAAAGGUCCUGCUUUUGUGGGGUGCUCGAGUGGCGAACGGGUGAGUAACACGUGAGUAACCUGCCCUUGACUUUGGGAUAACUUCACGAAACUGGGGCUAAUACCGGAUAGGAGCUCCUGCUGCAUGGUGGGGGUUGGAAAGUUUCGGCGGUUGGGGAUGGACUCGCGGCUUAUCAGCUUGUUGGUGGGGUAGUGGCUUACCAAGGGUUUGACGGGUAGCCGGCCUGGGAGGGUGACCGGCCACAUGGGGACUGAGAUACGGCCCAGACUCCUACGGGAGGCAGCAGGGGGGAAUAUUGCACAAUGGGCGGAAGCCUGAUGCAGCAACGCCGCGUGCGGGAUGACGGCCUUCGGGUUGUAAACCGCUUUCGCCUGUGACGAAGCGUGAGUGACGGUAAUGGGUAAAGAAGCACCGGCUAACUACGUG